GAGCCUGGCAGAAGGGCUGUCCUGAAUUGUGGCAGUAGUAACCCCACUGUCACCAUCUGAAGUACUAUAGGAGCAUCUCUACUUGUAGAGUCCCACUAGGAAAUCACACUGGGAAAUGCCUUACCAUCUUUUCUCUGGAAGUCACCACUAUUGCUGUAGCACGUGGAAAAGUCGCUGCUUGUGUCAGUGAUAAUACCUCACUAGGCCAAGCAAGUAAGCAGAAGUAACCUGCAAGAUCUUGUCCACAUGUUCUGAGUUUGCUGCCCCAAAACUCCUCACCAUAGCACAUCUUCAUCCCAGAAACACAGCUACGAGGCCGCUCACAUCUUCAAAGUGUAAAUCAGACUCAUAUCUUGGAGGCAACUGGUACAGUUAGAGAACGGUCUUUUUAAAUCAGCUCAGAAACCAAAAACCAAAUAAUGAAUGAUAGCAAAAUAUUAGCUUGGCAAAACUCCACCGCGAUGAUUUGUUUUCCAAAGUGCAGCUGAUUUACAGAUUUGAGGCCUCCAUUCCUGCUCUCUAAGUUUAAAGCGAGAUAUUUCAACAAAAAUUAUAG
This 556-nucleotide long non-coding RNA is filed under the name Phasianus colchicus (ring-necked pheasant). RNAcentral describes it as "lncRNA (ENSPCLG00000021792.1)". The record is from RNAcentral. Lineage: Eukaryota; Metazoa; Chordata; Aves; Galliformes; Phasianidae.